This 294-nucleotide long non-coding RNA is filed under the name Castor canadensis (American beaver). RNAcentral's name for it is "lncRNA (ENSCCNG00000023470.1)". The record is from RNAcentral. Lineage: Eukaryota; Metazoa; Chordata; Mammalia; Rodentia; Castoridae.
UUCACCUUAUUACCCAAGGAGCAUCCUGCCUUUUGCUGCUUGUCUACGGACAUCCUGGGUCUACAUAGGCCGAGCCACCAGGUUGAAGCAGCCUCCUUCUUUGACCUCAUGGAGCACCACACCAACUCUGGAGACUCUACUCUGAUGUCCAGGCUGGGGCCACCAGGAACCGAACUCUCAGCGCGCCUACGCUCCCCAUGGGUCCCGCCAAGCCUCAGAGGCGCGGGGUGGAGCCGGUGGCCGCACAAGGGACUCCUCACCGCCCGCGGGCUCGGCUGCAGCGCGGGCUUGAAA